Urocitellus parryii (Arctic ground squirrel) is the source of this 1221-nucleotide long non-coding RNA. NCBI's taxonomy places the organism in Eukaryota, Metazoa, Chordata, Mammalia, Rodentia, Sciuridae. The record is from Ensembl.
CCCAGGACAAUGACCGGCUCUGAGGCCAGCCAGCCUUCAGCAGGCAGAGUGCAGGGGACACUCGGCUUCGGCCUCCUGAGCGUACGCCCAGGUCACGCGGCUGUGCCUAGGAUCCUGAAGGCAGCCUCUCCUGACUUUCUCCUGCUCUCCCAUUUGGGGACCCUGAGGCCGAGAGCAGAGAAGCCGUCCGGAAACUUGUUUAAAGGUCCUCCAUGCCUGAUGGCGCGUUCAGGUUCCCAAAUAGGACAAGCGGCACCUCUGGGAGAAUACACGCAUGACCUCUGCCCCACAAGACCACUGGACCUGGUCCUUUCCACUGGCCAGUCGGUAAGUCCUUCCACCAAACCCGGCCUAAAGGGCCUGCUGCUGUGGAAGACACGUGUGGCUCCGCUGCGGUGUGACUCUCUGAGUCACAGUUUAGAAAAUUCCAAAUGAACAGAGCAUGAUCGAGGUUGUUUUGGGGAGUCCCAGUCCUCUCUCCCCCUUUUUAGUUUUCUAAAUUGUAGCUUAAUGGAUAAAUGAGCUCGUUGCACAGUGGCUCGACCUUGGGGGUUGUGAGGAAUUCCUGUUUGUGGUCAAUACAAAACUCUGCAAAAUCGUUGAAAAGAAGAGCUUGCAAAAGCCGGUGCGUCACCAGUUUUAAUCUGCCAAGGACAUCCUAAGACCACAAAGGCAGCUACGCAGUGGGAAACGACACGUUGGGCAUUUCCUUUGCAUGGGCUGUGGCAAAGGCAGAUCUAGAGUAAGUAUCUACAAUCACACGUACGUAGCACUGUUUACCAAACCGAGGAAGGUGAGUUCCGUCCAUCUGCCAUGAUGGAUUCGGCUUUAAUCCAUGGGGAUUUACCCAGAUGGUAAAGGUGGGAAGUGUCUAACACACUGCGGGCAGUGACGUACAAGUUGACGAGCUUGCUGUCUAGUAAUAUUGAUUUUUUAUGUAAACUGGAAGCAUUUUGAUGAUGUAAGAAAUGCAAAGCUUGGGCACGGUCAUACAAAGACAUUUGCUGACAAACAGCAACCAAUUUAUCAAUCUGAUGUUAGAGGCCCUGGGAGAUCAGUGUGGGCCUGUAUGUGGCCUAUAAAACAUGGCUGUUGGCACAUUUGUGGCAUCUUUUGCAAGGUAUGAAACAAAUUGAGUAACUCUUGUGAUGGUGAACACCAAAUAAUUGAAGUUUCGAUAUUUUUGGUAACUAAUUAAUAAAUAUUAAUUAGCUCAUGGCA